This 614-nucleotide ribosomal RNA is filed under the name uncultured bacterium. RNAcentral's name for it is "bacterial SSU rRNA". It matches the Rfam family "Bacterial small subunit ribosomal RNA", at positions 125 to 731 of the family's 1533-position model. The record is from RNAcentral.
UCUGCCUAGUAGUGGGGGAUAACUUGCCGAAAGGUAAGCUAAUACCGCAUACGUCCUACGGGAGAAAGCAGGGGACUCUUCGGAGCCUUGCGCUAUUAGAUGAGCCUAGGUCGGAUUAGUUAGUUGGUGAGGUAAUGGCUCACCAAGACCGCGAUCCGUAACUGGUCUGAGAGGAUGAUCAGUCACACUGGAACUGAGACACGGUCCAGACUCCUACGGGAGGCAGCAGUGGGGAAUAUUGGACAAUGGGGGGAACCCUGAUCCAGCCAUGCCGCGUGUGUGAAGAAGGCCUUCGGGUUGUAAAGCACUUUAAUUUGGGAGGAAGGGCUUACGGUUAAUAACCGCUAAGUUUUGACGUUACCAAAAGAAUAAGCACCGGCUAACUUCGUGCCAGCAGCCGCGGUAAUACGAAGGGUGCAAGCGUUAAUCGGAAUUACUGGGCGUAAAGCGCGCGUAGGUGGUUCAGUAAGUUAGGAGUGAAAGCCCCGGGCUCAACCUGGGAAUUGCUUCUAAAACUGCUGGGCUAGAGUACAGUAGAGGGUGGUGGAAUUUCCUGUGUAGCGGUGAAAUGCGUAGAUAUAGGAAGGAACAUCAGUGGCGAAGGCGACCACCUG